UGUUUUAGUGGGAUUUACAAAGCUUCAGCUAACAAAUUCCUCAUAGAAUCCUAUUAAGUCACACAAAUCCCCAAGCCUCAAGUCACUAUCAUUGCUCAACGACUCCCAUCCACAGAAACCUUCUAUGUCAAAUAUAAGCCUUCAUUUCUACAGUUAAACAAAUCAAAUUCAUAUAUUGUCAGUGUCUGAAAACAUAUGACCCACUGUGAACCUCUACUCCAU
RNAcentral lists this long non-coding RNA (222 nucleotides) under Monodelphis domestica (gray short-tailed opossum). RNAcentral describes it as "lncRNA (ENSMODG00000034062.2)". The record is from RNAcentral. Lineage: Eukaryota; Metazoa; Chordata; Mammalia; Didelphimorphia; Didelphidae.